UGGCGUGCCUAACACAUGCAAGUCGAACGCGAACGUCCUUCGGGACUAGUAGAGUGGCGGACGGGUGAGUAACGCGUGGGUAAUCUGCCCUCGAGUAGGGGAUAACUUCGGGAAACUGAAGCUAAUACCGUAUAAUGGUGCUUCUCUGCGGGGAAGUACACAAAGGUGGGGAUCUUCGGACCUGCCGCUUGAGGAUGAGCCCGCGUACCAUUAGGUAGUUGGUGGGGUAAUGGCCUACCAAGCCGAAGAUGGUUAGCUGGUCUGAGAGGAUGAUCAGCCACACUGGGACUGAGACACGGCCCAGACUCCUACGGGAGGCAGCAGUGGGGAAUCUUGCGCAAUGGGCGAAAGCCUGACGCAGCAACGCCGCGUGUGUGAAGAAGGCCUUCGGGUCGUAAAGCACUAUAAAGUGAGAAGAGCAGGCAGUGGUUAAUACCCACUGCCCCGACGGUAUCACUAGACAAAGCACCGGCUAACUCCGUGCC
This 485-nucleotide ribosomal RNA is filed under the name uncultured delta proteobacterium. Its description in RNAcentral is "bacterial SSU rRNA". It matches the Rfam family "Bacterial small subunit ribosomal RNA", at positions 40 to 509 of the family's 1533-position model. Lineage: Bacteria; Deltaproteobacteria. The record is from RNAcentral.